Molecule: ribosomal RNA, 953 nt
Filed under: uncultured Actinomyces sp.
Lineage: Bacteria; Bacillati; Actinomycetota; Actinomycetes; Actinomycetales; Actinomycetaceae
Description: bacterial SSU rRNA
Rfam family: Bacterial small subunit ribosomal RNA (bases 1-806)
Source: RNAcentral
GACGAACGCUGGCGGCGUGCUUAACACAUGCAAGUCGAACGAAAAUACCAAGCUUGCUUGGUUGAUUAGUGGCGAACGGGUGAGUAACACGUGAGUAACCUGCCCCUUACUUUCUGGAUAACUGCUCGAAAGGGUAGCUAAUACGGGAUAUUCUGGCCUUCCUGCAUGGGUUGGUUUGGAAAGGUUUUUUCUGGUGAGGGAUGGGCUCGCGGCCUAUCAGCUUGUUGGUGGGGUGAUGGCCUACCAAGGCUUUGACGGGUAGCCGGCCUGAGAGGGUGGACGGUCACACUGGGACUGAGAUACGGCCCAGACUCCUACGGGAGGCAGCAGUGGGGAAUAUUGCACAAUGGGCGCAAGCCUGAUGCAGCGACGCCGCGUGAGGGAUGAAGGCCUUCGGGUUGUAAACCUCUUUCGUCAGGGAACAAGGCACUGCUUUUGGUGGUGUUGAGGGUACCUGGAUAAGAAGCGCCGGCUAACUACGUGCCAGCAGCCGCGGUAAUACGUAGGGCGCAAGCGUUGUCCGGAAUUAUUGGGCGUAAAGAGCUCGUAGGCGGCUGGUCGCGUCUGUCGUGAAAACUUCCGGCUCAACCGGGGGCUUGCGGUGGGUACGGGCCGGCUAGAGUGCGGUAGGGGUAACUGGAACUCCUGGUGUAGCGGUGGAAUGCGCAGAUAUCAGGAAGAACACCGAUGGCGAAGGCAGGUUACUGGGCCGUUACUGACGCUUAGGAGCGAAAGCGUGGGGAGCGAACAGGAUUUAGAUACCCUGGUAGUCCAAGGGCGAAUUCCACAGUUGGAUAUCAAGCUUUAUCGAUACCGUUCGACCUCGAGGGGGGGGCCUGGUACCCAGUUUUUGUUCCCUUUUAGUGAGGGUUAAUUAAUUGGUUUGUUUGUGUUGUUGUUGUGGUUUUGUUGUGUGCGACCUGUGUUUGAUUGGUGUCGUGUGGGUUGGUUGU